Mauremys reevesii (Reeves's turtle) is the source of this 390-nucleotide long non-coding RNA. RefSeq lists it as uncharacterized. The record is from RefSeq and is a predicted model, not a curated record. Lineage: Eukaryota; Metazoa; Chordata; Testudines; Geoemydidae. The transcript is spliced from 4 exons.
AAAACAGGCUGGUGCAUCCAGAGUUCACGGCUUAGAGCAGAAAAACAACAUCACCGCAGGAGACAGAGAGAUCAGCUUUGCCAGAGUCAGCACAGCUGGGGAAAGAGAGAGCUGGCAGAUGUAUUAUCCCUAGGUGAGAAAGAUAACAAAGCCUGAUUCUUCUAACUCAGCAUGGUUGUGUGGGUAAAGUGGUGCACUAGGAUCAAGAAAUCCGGUUUUGGUUCUUGACAUGUUAAGGUCUAGCUCUGUUGUGGAAACGUUGCUGUUGGCAUAAGAAAAAAGCUUCUUGUUUUCCAAAGCUCCCCCUUGGAGCCCAGUUAAUAUCGACAGUGUCCCUUCAACCUUGAACCAUUAAAAGCUUCAGGUGGGUGUUUCCUCAGAACUAGCAGU